This 484-nucleotide ribosomal RNA is filed under the name uncultured bacterium. RNAcentral describes it as "partial 16S ribosomal RNA". It matches the Rfam family "Bacterial small subunit ribosomal RNA", at positions 30 to 507 of the family's 1533-position model. The record is from RNAcentral.
AUUGAACGCUGGCGGCAGGCCUAACACAUGCAAGUCGAGCGGAUAAAGGAAGCUGCUUCCUUCUUUCAGCGGCGGACGGGGGCGGAAUGCCAAUGAAUGGGCAUCUGAGUGGGGGAUGAGGUUAGCUAAUGGGAACUGAUACUACUACCGCAUAGAGGCGGAAAACGGAGGAGCGUCGGAUCUCACGCUCUUGGCCGAGCCUAGGUCGGAUUAGCUAGUUGGUGGGGUAAAGGCCUAGCAAGCACACGACCCGUAACUCGUCUGAGUGGAUGAGCAGUCACACUGGGACUGAGACACGGUCCCAACUCCUAAGGGAGGCCACAGUGGGGAAUAUUGGACAAUGGGCGAAAGCCUGAUGCAGCCAUGCCGCGUGUGUGAAGAAGGCCUUCGGGUUGUAAAGCACUUUCAGUUGGGAGGAAGGGAGGUAAGUUAAUACCUUGCUGUUUUGACGUUACCAACAGAAUAAGCACCGGCUAACUUCGUG